GACAUAGGUCGCAAACGUUAUCCGGAAUUAUUGGGCGUAAAGGGUGCGUAGGUGGUUCAGUAAGUUACUGGUGGGAAAUCGAGGCUCAACCUCGUGGAAGUCAGUAAUACUGUUGAACUUGAGUGCAGGAGAGGUUAACGGAACUUUAUGUGGAGCGGUAAAAUGCGUAGAUAUAUAAAAGAACAUCAAUAUGGCGAAGGCAGUUAACUAUUCUGUUACUGACAUUGAGGCAUGAAAGCGUGGGGAGCAAAACGG
RNAcentral lists this ribosomal RNA (255 nucleotides) under uncultured bacterium. RNAcentral describes it as "partial 16S ribosomal RNA". It matches the Rfam family "Bacterial small subunit ribosomal RNA", at positions 524 to 776 of the family's 1533-position model. The record is from RNAcentral.